Molecule: ribosomal RNA, 253 nt
Filed under: uncultured bacterium
Lineage: Bacteria
Description: partial 16S ribosomal RNA
Rfam family: Bacterial small subunit ribosomal RNA
Source: RNAcentral
UACGUAGGGCGCAAGCGUUGUCCGGAAUUAUUGGGCGUAAAGAGCUCGUAGGCGGUCUGUCGCGUCCGUUGUGAAAACUCGAGGCUCAACCUCGGGCUUGCAGUGGAUACGGGCAGACUAGAGUGCGGUAGGGGAGACUGGAAUUCCUGGUGUAGCGGUGGAAUGCGCAGAUAUCAGGAGGAACACCGAUGGCGAAGGCAGGUCUCUGGGCAAUUCCUGACGCUGAGGCGCGAAAGCGUGGGGAGCAAACGGG